CAGUUAGAGGUUAUACAAGAUAAGGACAUGACAGUGAUUGUUGCACAAGCAAGAGGAAAUGCUGAAGAGACUGGCUUUUCAUUUGUUCAUUGUAGCAUAACUGGAAAAGCAAAAGGAGCAUUCCUAGGCCGAGCAUGGAUGCCAGCUCCUAAGGCGAUAUUUGCAUAUAGUACCAUAAGUGAUGUUAUCUGUCCCGAAGGAUGGUCUAACAAUCAACAUCCUGAACGAGAGCCGUAAGAAAUUUUUAACUAAUAUUUGUAAACUCAAUGACUAAUAUAUAACACUCAUUUUGCAUAUUUCAAUAAUUUUCUGUGGGCUUUGCAGAGAGAUCUUCUUUGGAGAAUAUAAAAAUACAGGACCUGGCGCAGCUAUUGAGGGACGUGUUAAAUUUGCCAAGCAACUAACUGAAGCCGAAGUAAAACCUUUCAUUUCUCUCAGUUAUAUUGAAGGUUCUAAAUGGCUGCUUCCUCCUCCCAAAUUGUGAGGAGGUUAUUUGUUGCAAGAAAUAUAUAAAUUUGAGAGCAAUGAUGUUUAGGGUACACGAAGUCAUACUUGCCUGGGGUGAAUAAACUAGGUUAUUAUCAUAAACCUAAUGUAAUUUCUUUUCAGAAUAAUAAUUUUAUAAUUAUCAUAUCUUAUUAUUAUAAAUAUUUUUAUUUUUAGUUAUUUUAAUAGUUUUUCUUCCACAAUUGUCGAUGAAUGUAUGUUUCUCAUGGUUAUAUUUAUUUUCUCUUGAUAAAAAAGGAGAUUUGAUAUUUGUUAAAAGAAUGGUUAAAUACAAUUCAUUUAAAAUUUUUCACUUUAUUCAUUGACAAUGCUAUCCAUACAUUUUAUUUUUUUCAAUAUAUCCUAUCUCUCUAUUUUUUUACUUUAUUAUAUUAUUUUAAUAUUUAUAGUAAAAUUAAAAUUUAAUAAAUAUCUAAAAUUAAGAGAUGAAGCCAUAAAUUUUAUCCCAGCUCGUAUAUUUAAGUAUUUGUAUUAUUUAUUUAAUUUAUUUGUUAACUUAUGUAGUCAUAUUUAAAAAAAAUACAACUCAAAAAUAAAAUAUUCUAAACUAAUGUAGUAGACCAAUUAAUUUUUGUACAAAAUAAAAUAAUCACUAAAAAAAUUAAUUCUUUCCAACUUAUAUUGAUGCCUCCAAAUUAUAUAUUUUUUUCUUGUAUUUAAGUAUUACCUCAAGUCUCAUGUAAUUUUUUAAAAAGACCAAAUAUGGACAUGAGAUAAAAAUAGGACAAAUAAUUUCAAAAAUGGAAAUAUUAACAAAACAUGUUAAUCCAUAUAUAUUUCGAUGUGUUGAAAAUAAUUUAAAGGUUUAUAUAUAUCUUAUGGAAUAAUUUUAGUCCAUUUGGCCUUCAAUACUAAAGUAUUUUAUACUCAUUAAAAUUAUUAGAUACUGGUAUGAAUACAAACUGAAUAAAUGCAACUUAAAUAUGUGUAUUUUAAGUCAAUUUGUAUUUUAAGUCAACUUAAAUAGUAUCAUAGUUGUGGGUUUGCUUUCGCAAGAACCCACGUCUCUACACCAUCCACAAUAGUAAUUUUGAAUAGCUCCAUUAAAACACAUUCGUGAGAGAGAAGGAAAAAAAAUAUUUUAAUGAUAAGUUUCCUAUUACCAACUCUCAUGUUUAAGUUUUAUUUACACUUACACUAAUUCAACACGUUGCAAAAGCUUUUUUCAAUUUUUAAAAUAAAUACGUUUUUGCUUCCGCUGGAUUACUUUUGCUCAACCAAAUUUAUUAUGAUUGAUAUUAUAAAUUCAUAUACUAGAUUUGUUAAUUUUCUAAUACAUUGUUUUUCCUUGAACAUAAACAAUAAUUUCUAUUGUACCAAUUUAAGCAAAAUUACUCCCUCUAACUUAACAAUUGACGAUUGAUUUAUGAAGAGUUAUGGCAGAAUUGAAUUCGGAGAAAAGUGGUCGGAAAAAACAAUAAAUAUGUAUUAAUAGGACCAAAUUUUGAAGAGAUCCAUUCGUGAAAGGAGAGGAAAAAAAAAAAAUUUAAUAUCAAGUUUCCUGAUACCAAUUCUGAUGUUUGAGUUUUAUUUACACUUACACUAAUUCAAGAUAUAGCAAAAGGCUUUUUCGUUUUUUAAAAUAAAUACGCUUUUGCUUUCGCUAGAUUACUUUUGCUAAACCUAAUUUAUUAUGAUUGAUAUUACAAAUUUAUAUACUAGAUUUGUUAAUUUUCUAUUACACGGUUCUUCCCUGAACAUCAAAAAUAGUUUCCACUGUACAAAUUUAGGCAAAAUUACUCCCUCUAACUUAACAAUUGAAGAUUGAUUUAUGAAGAGUUAUGGCAGAAGUGAGUUUGGAGAAAGUGGUCGGAAAAAAUAAUAAAUAUGUAUUAGUAGGACCACAUUUUUAUAUCUAUAACUCAUUUUUUAAGUUAUUAAAAUAGUUAACACUGAAAAGUUUAGGUAAAAUAGUUAAGUUUUAAAUGUAUUUUACAUUGUUUUUUAGUAUGCAAAAAAAAUAUUACUUGUAUUUAUUUUGAAUUACAAAAUAACUAAAGAAAUAAAAAAUAAAAUUAACACAAGCCACAAAUUUCAAACAAGAUAAACGAGAAACACUCCCAUUAUUGCAAAAGAAAGCAAGAGAAUGCGAUAAACUUUCUAAAUCUCAAUUGUAUUCAGACUUCUUCCUCUUCAGUGUUAUAUAAAUUGCCACAUUCAUAACAAAAAAGAAACAUAUCAAGAAACUAAAAAUCUAUACAAGAUGAUUAAACACCUUAGUCUCCUCGCAUUCGUCGAAUAGGCAAUCAUCGCCAUUGUUUUUACAGACAUAAAUGUUAGCUCUGAUGAUGCAGCACCAAUGCCAGAGGCUGAAGCUGAAGUAAACGCUUGGUUUGAAGCUAAUGUCAAGCCAUUGGCAGAUCGUAAGGGCACUUUAAAUGCUGACCUUGAAGCAGCUGAAGCUACUCCCAAAACUAUUACGGUGAGAGCAGACGGAAGUGGAGAGUUCAAGACUAUAACAGAUGCUGUUAAGAGCAUUCCAGCCAAAAAUGCACAACGCGUGAUUGUGGAUAUUGGACCUGGAACCUAUACCGAGAAAAUUACCGUUGAAAAAGAUAAGCCCUUUGUUUCGUUUGUCGGAGUACCUGAGAAGACAAUCAUAGAAUUUGCUGGCACUGCUCAUGAAUAUGGAACUGUGUAUAGCGCAACAUUACAAGUUGAGUCUGAUUUCUUCGUGGGAAGCGGUUUAGUUAUCAAGGUCCAUUUACAAUGCUUUUGCUUUUCUUCCGUUAUUUAUGCUUUUCAUUUCUGUCACAUUUUAACAAUUUAUGGAUUUACUAUCGCAUUAGAAUACUGCACCUGCGCCUGAUGGAAAAAGACCUGGAGCCCAAGCAGUUGCUUUCAGAAUUGCUGGAAGUAUGUCAAGUUUUUACAAUUGCAGAUUUAUUGGAUUUCAAGAUACAAUAUGCGAUGACAAAGGAUUUCACUUUUUUAAAGACUGUUACGUUGAAGGCACCGUUGAUUUCAUUUUUGGGAGCGGAAAGUCUAUUUAUCUGGUAAUAAAACUUCCAUUAGAACUCAACAUAUAUUGGAUUUGUUUAUAUGCACAUGAUAUCUUUAUUUAUGAAUAUCAACAUCAACAUCAACAUAUAUUCUAUGCAGAAUACCCAGUUAGAGGUGCUGCAAGAUAAGGAAAUGACAGUGAUUGUUGCACAAGCAAGAGGAAACGCUGAAGAUACUGGCUUUUCAUUUGUUCAUUGUAGCGUAGCUGGGAAAGCAAAAGGAGCAUACCUAGGCCGAGCAUGGAUGCCAGCUCCUAAGGCGGUAUUUGCAUAUAGUACCAUAAGUGAGGUUAUCUGUCCCGAAGGAUGGUCUAAUAAUGAACAUCCUGAAAGAGAGCCGUAAGAAAUUUUUAACUAAUCUCUUUAAACUCAUAAAAUGACUUAUCUAUAAUACUCAUUUUGCAUAUUUCAAUAAGGUUCUGUGCACUUUGCAGAGAGAUCUUCUUUGGAGAAUUUAAGAAUUCAGGACCAGGCGCAGCUGCUGAUGGACGUGUUAAAUUUGCCAAGCAACUGACUGAAGCAGAAGUAAAACCUUUCAUUUCUCUUAGGAUGCCAGCUCCUAAGGCGAUAUUUGCAUAUAGUACCAUAAGCGAGGUUAUAUGUCCCGAAGGAUGGUCUAAUAAUGAACAUCCUGAAAGAGAGCCGUAAGAAAUUUUAGCUAAUCUCUUUAAUCUCAUAAAAUGACUUAUCUAUAAUACUCAUUUUGCAUAUUUCUAUAAGGUUCUGUGAAUUUUGCAGAGAGAUCUUCUUUGGAGAAUUUAAGAAUUCAGGACCAGGUGCAGCUCCUGAUGGACGUGCUAAAUUUGCCAAGCAAUUAACUGAAGCAGAAGUAAAACCUUUCAUUUCUCUUAUUUAUAUUGAAGGUUCUAAAUGGCUGCUUCCUCCUCCCAAAUUGUGAGGACUAUAUUUAUAGCAGGAAGUAUAUGAAUUUGAGCGCAAUGAUGUUUAGGCGUACAUGGCCAUCUACGCCGGAAGAAUCCCUUGUUAUUUUGGAAGGCCUAUCUUAUGGUUUUGGCAUCUUAGUUACCACUUGUAAAUAAGCCAGAUUAGAGUAAUAUAUCUGGUUCUGCAAUUUUCCCAACAAUGAUUUUGCAAUUAUCUCAUUUAUUAGUUUCAUGUAAUUUUUAGUCAUUUUAUAAUUAUUAGCCCAUAAAUACAUGUUUUCUCCCCCAUUGACUUCAAUUUUCCAUUUGAUACAAACCAUAAAUUUUCUUUCUAAAUACUGAUUAAUAAAUAGAAUAUUCAGAAUAAAGAGUGUCUGCGUGUAAUUAUGGAUAUACUAACUAAAUAAGGAAUGAAAACUAACUAAUUAGGAGCCAAUCAGGUGGUGGUCUGGUUGGUCUUCUCUCUUAUGUGAGGAGUGGGAGGCUGCCCUGUGUUGUAUAGUCCAUAGUAUUAUUUCGGUCUAUAAAAGUCUCUAAUGAAUUUAAAAAACUAACUAAUUAGGAAAAAAAAAAAGAUUUUUUAACUAAAAAGGAAAGAUAAAAUCUAACUACAUAAGAAAAUAUCAUUGCCUUAACUAAAUAGGGACAAAGAUACAUAAUAUAUAAGAACAAUAAAUAAAAUUUUAAAAUAAUAUCCUAAGAAAUAAACAAUAAUGCUAUAUAAGAAUUUCAUCCAAAUAAGUUGUGUUAACUGUUAGGUACACAUACACAUGAAAUUUGUAGCUUUGUAGUGUUGCACUCUAGCUAUGACAAUCUUGAUGCAAUAUAAAUUAAAUCUUUCAUAUUUUAUUCAUAGAAAUUUUUGAGGUCGGAUGGCAUUUAAAUAAUGGAAUGUAUACAUCUCAUGAAUUUGCUAGAUUCUUUCAAUUAAUAGAGAAAAAAAAUGAAGUAUGCUACAUGGAAUUAAUAGAUUUCGAGGUAUCCCCAAUUACAUUAAUUUAGAAGAGAGAAAAAUAUCAUCUCAAUGCUGGAAUUUUCUCAAUUCUAUCAUUAUUAAUCAUUUAAUUUUUUUUCCAAAAAUAUCUUUUAAAUUCAUGGAUUAUAUUUUUUCAUUUAAAUAAUGGAAUAUGAAAUUCCAUUGAUUUUACAAUUCAUAAAUUUUAUAUUUCGUGAAUUUGGUAAAUUUUAUGACCAAAUUUCAUCAAUUUAAAUUAUCUCCUUGAGACUAAAAAAGUGUGAAGUAAGACAGAUGUUAAAAGUUUUAACAAUGAUUGUACAUUUGUUUUUUUUUUUUUUUUUUUUUUCUUGAAAACAUUGUACAUUUGUUGUUAAUCUCUUGCAAGUUCCAUGUGAAUUGAAGAUUUUUUUUUUUUUUUUUAAAGUUUCCGAAUGCUAUAAAUAAUAGAAAUUCAUUGUUCAAGAUCAGUACUACAAAUUAGCACAUUCAUUAAAGUUUUAAGAACCAAACUUUAUGAAAUUCAAACAUGACUAUAUUAAAUUCUAGAAUAUAAAAACUAUGAAGACCUCCUCGACCGUAAGAUUCAGAAUCUGACAGAAUUAAAAAUAUAUUCAUGCAGAAGAUGACAAAAAAUGAAUUUUUUAGAAAUUAUUUCGGUAUUUUUUUUUAGUGUACUUUAAGAUCUGGUUAAAGCUCCACUGAUGAAAAUAAAAAUUUUUUAAAAAUUAUUUCUACUUUAUUUCUUUUUUCCUUUAGCUUUAAAGUCUGGAUUUUUUUCUUACAAAAUCAAGAUAUAGUUGAAGAAUAAUAAUUUCUUUGUCAGGUAAAAAGAAAAAAUUGCAACACAUAAUUUUGAUGUAUGCCACACGGCGGAUUUAUGUUCACGACAAAGUUUCUUUAUAUAUAUAGAAAUAAAAGCAGAGCAGUUUGCAAUAUAUAAAGCAAAGCAUAAGUCUAUGAAAUUAUCAAAUGUGAGGAGAAUAACAAUUAUUUAGGACAAUUAUAGUUGGACAAUAAUUAUUUAGGGUAGUUGUAAGAACAUGAGUUAUUUUAUAUUUUCCAAAAGGUUGGAUGAAUUAUUAAAAAUUAAAAUUAAAAUUAAAAUUAAAUAAAAAAUUAAAAAGAGAUACAGUAGGGACCAACAACCACUGUAAUAUAUACUUACAACUUUUUAUUUUUAUUUUUUAUUUUUCAUUUUUCCCACUCAAUUACGCAUCAUGAUUAAAGUUAGGGUUUCGAAACACAGAUUGCGGAAGAUCAGUAAGCAUUUAUCAGGAUUCUGUUAUUCAUGAUUUAUUUUAUAUGGCUGUUUGGCUCUAAAGAAAACCCUGUAAAAAAACCAUAUCAGUUUCCUUUUGUUUGCGGCAAUUAUAAAGUCUAAGUUUUUCUGUUAGCUUUUAUAUGUUUGUUGUGUGUUCAUAAUGAAUGUGAGAUUCUUUUUUGUUAUCUAAUUUGACAUAACGCACUCAAACAGGAAUUAGUUUGCUUUUUAUUUAAAUGUCCUUUUCUUGGUUUAAUAUUAUUUAGAUAUUGGAAGUCCAAGCAAACUCCAGUAUAACUCCAAGCUUGAAAUCCCUUCAUGAAACCCACAUCAAGUUCUUUUUAAUCUAUUCCAAAAAUCUGUCCAUGAGUAGUUAUCCAGUGCUCAAUUUGCACUUGAAACAACAAAGAUUUUUUUUUUUUUUUUUCCACUCCCCAAGUACCUGUUUAUAAAGCCUAAUUCUCCAAAUAAAUAUCUUUCACUUCUAGCUUUCAUAUCAACCCAAAACCAGGUUUCUACAGGUGAAGAAGACAUUCAGUUUACUUAAAAUAUACAUGUGAUGAUGUGUUGCAGUUUUUGGUUUUGCAUACUAAAGACUCUUUUCAUUAAGCUGCUUCUCCUCUAGGAUGUCAAAUUGGCCAUUCCCAUCUAAUAUGGACGUUCAAACGUAAUAUAAUCUAAAUGACUCUUCUUCAUAUUUAGAAAGGGCAGCUUUUAUUCCUGUAAACCGAGGCAUAAAUUAUUAGUUUCACUAACUGGACUGCGUUAGAGUUUAGGCAGUUUUUGCUCUAUACACUCUCAUGUGUUUGCGUUAGAGUUUUUAUUUGCAUCAAUAUUUUUUCCUAAUGGUUCAUCUUUGAUUUCAGGGAGAUCGUAUCCAUGCACUGAUUAGUAAAAAUAUUAUUCGUUUAUUCAAAUCAAAGAUACACGAGUUUAGAUUAUAUUUCAUGAAGAACUUUAUAAUUGCACCAAAUAAUUAUAUAGAAAAUCGUUUCACAUAUAUUUUCUAUGAGUUGCUACUAUUGAUUUUAUAGGAAAAUAACCGAGUUUGGCUCAUUGUGGUUAAUGCCGUACUUUUUUUCCUAAGUAUUAUUAUUUGAUGCAGUUUAUACCAUGCAUGAUUUUUGUUAUGCAUACCCUAGUAAAAGGCUUCACAUGAUACUUAAGAAUCUCUCAAUAAAAUAAAAUUUUGUAAUGCAUUUCAAUGAGAUACUUUAUUAUACAAUUUUAUUAUUUUUCAAUGCUGUUAUAAAAGAUAAUUUCAUCAUUCAAUAUUGCUUCGUGCAUCACGCAAGUUCUUACAUGAAUAAUAUAUAAAAGUAAUGUAGUUUGCCUUAUAUGGUGUAAGUAGCACAAUUUGCCAUUUGACAUUAUUUUGAAUUAUAGAGUGACAGAUGUUAGAAUUUUAAUACAAUCUGCCACUUGGCGGUGUUUUGAAUUAUAAAAUGACAAAUAUUAGAAUUCUAACACAAAUUAGCAUAAUUGUAAGAAUUGUAAGAAUUGUAAGGAGAUCAGUUAUUUUAUAUUUUCAGAUGAUUCCUUUAUCAACAUAAUAUCUAUAAAAAAAAUUAUCUUUAGCAUUCAAUAUAUUAAUAUAAAUUUAUUUCUUUUUACAAAAUAAUUAAUAAGUAAUCCACACACAUAAAAAAAUUGUGAAUAAACAAUAUAUUACUAUUAAAUAAACAAUAUAUAAACAAUUUAAAAAAUAUAAAUUGUAAUGUACUGAAUACGAUAAUUUUUUUUUAAAAAAAUAUGACAUUCACACGCUUAGAACACAUACAUUCAAUAAGUAAUAUAUUAAUAUUUCAAAUAAAUAAAUAGUCACUUAUAAUAAAUUAUAAAUAAAUUUAAAAAGUUAAUUUCUUAUUUCAAUCAUACAAUUCUAAUUUUGAAGAGCUCCAUUCGUGAAAUGAGAGGAAAAAAAUAUUUAAUAUCAAGUUUCCCAAUACCAAUUCUGAUGUUUGAGUUUUAUUUACACUUACACUAUUUCAAGAUAUAGCAAAAGCCUUUUUCGAUUUUUAAAAUAAAUACGCUUUUGCUUUCGCUAGAUUACUUUUGCUAAACCAAAUUUAUUAUGAUUGAUAUUAUAAAUUUAUAAAUUAGAUAUGUCAAUUUUCUAUUACACAGUUCUUCCUUGAACAUCAAAAAUAGUUUACACUGUAUCAAUUUAGACAAAAUUACUCCCUCUUACUCAACAAUUGACAAUUGAUUUAUGAAGAGUUAUGGCAGAAUUGCGUUUGGAGAAAGUGAUCGGAAAAAAACAAUAAAUAUGUAUUAGUAGGUCCAAAUUUUUACAAUCAUAACUCAUUUUUUAAGUUAUUAAAACAGCAGCACCGAACAGUUUAGGUAAAAUAGUAAAGUUUUAAAUGCAUUUUACAUUUUUUUUUUUUUGUGCAAAAAAAAAAAAAAAUCUUGUAUUUAUUUUGAAUUACAAAAUAAAUAAAUAAAAAAAAAAUAGAAGUGACACAAGCCACAAAUUUCAAACAAGAUACACGAGAAUCACUCCCAUUACUGCAGAAGAAAGCAAGAGAAUGCGAUAAACUUUCUAAAUCUCAAUUGUAUUAAGACUUCUUCCUCUUCAGUGUUAUAUAAAUUGCGAAUUCAUAAUAAAAAAGAAGCAAGAAACAUAUCAAGAAACUAAAAAUCUAUACAAGCUGAUUAAACGCCUUAGUCUCCUCGCAUUCGUCGUAUAUGCCAUCAUCGCCAUUGUUUUUACAGCAAUAACUGUUAGCUCUGAUGAUGCAGCACCAAUACCAGAGGCUGAAGCUGAAGUAAACGCUUGGUUUGAAGCAAAUGUCAAGCCACUGGCAGACCGUAAGGGCACUUUAAAUGCUGACCUUGAAGCGGCUGAAGCUACUCCCAAAACUAUUAAGGUGAGAGCAGACGGAAGUGGAGAGUUCAAGACUAUAACAGAUGCUGUUAAGAGCAUUCCAGCCAAAAAUGCACAACGCGUGAUUGUGGAUAGUGGACCUGGAACCUAUACCGAGAAAAUUACCGUUGAAAAAGAUAAGCCCUUUGUUUCGUUUGUCGGAGUACCUGAGAAGACAAUCAUAGAAUUUGCUGGCACUGCUCAUGAAUUUGGAACUGUGUAUAGCGCAACAUUACAAGUGGAGUCUGAUUUCUUUGUGGGAAGCGGUUUAGUUAUCAAGGUCCAUUUACAACGCUUUAGCUUUUCUUCCGUUAUUUAUGCUUUUCAUUUCUGUCACGUUUUAACAAUUUAUGGACUUACUAUUGCAUUAGAAUACUGCACCUCCGCCUGAUGGAGUAAGACCUGGAGCGCAAGCAGUUGCUUUCAGAAUUGCUGGAAGUAUGUCAAGUUUUUACAAUUGCAGAUUUAUUGGAUUUCAAGAUACAAUAUGCGAUGACAAAGGGUUUCACUUUUGGAAAGACUGUUACGUUGAAGGCACCGUUGAUUUCAUCUUUGGGAGUGGAAAGUCUAUUUAUCUGGUAAUAAAACUUCCAUUAAAACUCAACAUAUAUUGGAUUUUGUUUAUAUGCACAUAGUAUCUUUAUUUCUUGAAUAUCAACAUCAAUAUAUAUUCCAUGCAGAAUACCCAGUUAGAGGUUAUACAAGAUAAGGACAUGACAGUGAUUGUUGCACAAGCAAGAGGAAAUGCUGAAGAUACUGGCUUUUCAUUUGUUCAUUGUAGC
This 10263-nucleotide long non-coding RNA is filed under the name Jatropha curcas. Its description in RNAcentral is "long non-coding RNA (JCUR_LNC001029)". The record is from RNAcentral. Lineage: Eukaryota; Viridiplantae; Streptophyta; Magnoliopsida; Malpighiales; Euphorbiaceae.